UGCUAUCAAAAAGUCGCCGAACAUGAGAACAAUAGAACAAAAGAAUUACAAACAAAAGAACAAUAUAGCCGAUUCUAUUGUUCUAUUGUUAGUUAUUCUUUUGUUCUAUUGUUCUCGUGUUCGGCGACUUUUUGAUAGCACGGUAUAUUGACUUCCUGAGACUACUAUAGUACG
This is a long non-coding RNA of Bradysia coprophila, 174 nucleotides long. Lineage: Eukaryota; Metazoa; Arthropoda; Insecta; Diptera; Sciaridae. The record is from RefSeq and is a predicted model, not a curated record.